Molecule: non-coding RNA, 84 nt
Organism: Sphaeroforma arctica JP610
Lineage: Eukaryota; Ichthyosporea; Ichthyophonida
Source: Rfam
AGAUGGUUGUCCGAGUGGUCCAAGGAGUUUGACUUAAGCUCAAUUAUGCGUAUGCAUGCGCAGGUUCGAACCCUGCACCAUCCA